Molecule: RNA transcript, 2988 nt
Organism: Pseudoliparis swirei
Lineage: Eukaryota; Metazoa; Chordata; Actinopteri; Perciformes; Liparidae
Gene name: kiaa0930
Exons: 10
Source: RefSeq, a predicted model, not a curated record
GUGAGGGGUGUUUCCAGCUGAUCUGCACAACAGAAGGACCGGAGUCUCCCCCAGCAGCUACUCGACCGACCGGCCCCUUUCCCCAGCAGCACGGCAGAGCACGCACCGGCCCCGGCGGCGCACGGACCUGCAUCGGGGUCCGAGGGAAGACCCGGAGGGGAGGCUCCUCGGCGUCCCCCCCACUCCGCCCCUCCCGGUGCACACUGUCAUGAUCCCGGCGCGGAGAUGGCGUCCUUCCCCGGUUCGUGUCAGGCCGUCGGGCCCGAGGAGGCGCGCGGAGAGCCGGACGGGUCUCUGCGGGAGAUGCUGAAGGCCAUCACGGACGAGCGGAACCGGCUCAGCGUCCGGCAGGAGACCAGCGGGCUGGGCGGCUUCCAGGACGACCGCAUCGUGUUCUGGACCUGCAUGUUCUCCACGUACUUCAUGGAGCGGUUCUCCCCCGGCAGCCUGGUGCAGGACGACAUGCUGUUCUACGUGCGCAGGAGGCCGGCCUACGACGGCGCCGCGGGCGACGGCGUCAACAACAACAACGACGGCAAGAAGGUGGAGGUGGAGGUCUACAGGAGAGACUCCAAGAAGCUGCCUGGCCUCGGGGACCCCGACAUGGACUGGGAGGAGAGCGUCUACCUGAACCUCGUCUUACAGAAGCUGGACUACGUGGUGACGUGUGCAGUCUGCACGCGCUCAGACGCCGGGGACAUCCACAUCCACCGCAAGAAGUGUCAGGAAGUUUUCGCGUCUCCCAGUAAACACGCCAUGGACAGCAAAGGGGAGGAGUCUAAGAUGAGCUACCCCAACAUCUUCUUCAUGAUCGACAACUUCGAGGAGGUGUUCAGCGACAUGACGGUGGGCGAGGGCGAGAUGGUGUGUGUGGAGCUGGUGGCGAGCGACAAGAGCAACAGCUUCCAGGGCGUCAUCUUCCAGGGCUCCAUCCGCUACGAGGCCCUGAAGAAGGUCUACGACAACCGCGUUAGCGUAGCGGCUAAGAUGGCCCAGCGGAUGUCUUUCGGCUUCUACAAGUACAACAACAUGGAGUUCGUGAGGAUGAAGGGGCCGCAGGGCAAAGGUCACGCCGAGAUGGCCGUCAGCCGCGUGCCGACCGGAGACACCGAGGAGGAGCCGGCCUCGCCCGAGAGGGUGACCUCCUUCAGCACGCCUCCCACGCCGGAGAGGACCCGGCCGUCCUUCUUCUCGCCGUCUCUCAGACGCAAAGCUCCUCGAAACCGAAACGCAGAGAUGAAGAAGUCUCACUCGGCCAACGACAGCGAGGAGUUCUUCAGGGAGGAGGAGGACGAAGGUAGGAAGCACCAAGGAACCACUAAGGGACAGACCUCCACUCGUCCUCUAACCUGCGCUCUCGCUCUCUCUCGGGCACCGGGCGUUCUCUGGUCGGCUCGUGGCUCAAACUGAACCGAACUGACGACUACUUCCUGUUGUACUCGCACCUGACCUACGUCACGCUGCCGCUGCACCGCAUCACCGCAGACAUCCUGGAGGUGCGGCAGAAGCCCAUCCUCAUGACGUAGCAGCCGAGCUGCUCGUCAUACCAAGUGCCUCCUGCAUCGGGCCAGACGCAGCAGCGCCCCCUGGUGGCCGGACCGAGACCAACACCCACAGCCUGCUCCAGAGGGGACACACACACACACCAGCCAUUCAGGAAGUGCCUCCUCUUCUUCCCUUCCCGCUGCGUGCGAGGUCACGUGACCUCCGGUGUGAGAGGCGGUUGGCUGAACUCUGACCAGGAAGUGGAGAACGUGUUCUUGUAAAUAUUUGCUGCUUCACUCAGAGGUUCUGCGGUUCUUUUAAUGACACGUUCCUCUCGUGGUUUUCUUUUUUCAAUAUUAUCCACGACGACGGGACUCGAAGUGUUUUUGUACGACAGGAAACCGGAAACGGGAAGUGGAGACGCCAGUGCCAUCGCUGCGUCUUCAUCCUUUUAUGGACCAACGGUCUCAUUUAGUCUCUGAAUGUCUAAAAUACCAGAAUAAUAAAUGUUGUGUAGAAGCAGACAUGUUACCAGCAGUGAGUUAGGACUUCUUCACUUAUCAGCAUCUCUAAACUACCAUAAAUAAAAUCACUUUUACUUGUGACUGAUUCACAAUAUCAGAGUUCGACUUCACUCGUUAUAUUAAAUUACAACAAAUAAAAUGUCAUGAAUAAUAUAAAAUAUUAGAUUAUAUUUGUCUUUGAUCAAUAUUUACAUUCUCAUUGUUUUGAUUUGACCAGCAACUUUUAUUUGUUUAAUUAAACUGAUCAUUUAAACUAUUGAUUACGAGAUCAGUACAUUUAUGUUCUUUGUGAUUUAAAACCUGAGCAAAUUAUUUAAUUUCUAAUCUGUACAUUUCGAAAAAGUAUCUUUGAACUCACCAAAAGUUUCUAAAGUGUAAUUAUUGUUAUAACAACUAUGUUUUAAUUAGUUAAAAAAGAUACGCAGAUGAACGGCGGCUAUUAGAAGUUAGUCAAAUACAAGAAAAUUUAAUUAUCUAAAAUAUUCAAAGAAUGUUUAGCAUUAUGACUAACAAACACGUUAAUUAUUUAUGUUUAUUUAACUAAACCAAAAGAACUUCAGGAGUCACGAAAUUCACGCUGGCUACAUUUUGUUUAAUCUCAAUAUAAUUCUUGUAACUUUACAACUCUAAUUUAUCCUCUGAAGAUCGAAAUUCAGUUAGUUUAAAAAAAGUAUUUUAUAAUAUAUAUAAAACAAAUAUAAUAUAUAAUUAUAUUUUAGCGUAGUGAGUCACGCUGUUGAUUGAUUAUAUAAUAAUACAUAAUUCUGAUCUAAAUAUUUGUUACUAUUUAAGAACUGAACGUUUUCACCGUUUAAUCUUCAGAAGUCAGUCGGUUGAAAUUCUCGUUGGCCACCAGAGGCUGAGCCGAAGCUCUUUUGGGGCUUCCGUAGAUUCAUUUAAAUCAAACUGUUAAAACCGUUAACAUAUUCAUCCUGUAAAUCUGAUACAUUUCUGGACAAAGACAUAAUUGAAGACCAAU